This 4684-nucleotide long non-coding RNA is filed under the name Sus scrofa (pig). RNAcentral's name for it is "lncRNA (ENSSSCG00045032585.1, ENSSSCG00055006696.1, ENSSSCG00065005695.1)". Lineage: Eukaryota; Metazoa; Chordata; Mammalia; Artiodactyla; Suidae. The record is from RNAcentral.
UUUCUUUCCUACAUAUGACUAUUCCAGGUUAAAUGCUGGCGUGUAAACACAUUUAAUACAGGAGUAAUAUAAGUUCAGGUAGACGUGAAUCUUUCUGUCCCCUGUAAGAAUUUAUGAGUGGUAGUAACUAACGAUGGUACUCUACUUUGUUUCAUCUUUUAGAUUGUAGUGCCUAGUUUUAACUGUCCUUUGUCUUCUAUCGUAAAUCAGAUCCCACUAUGCUUAAGAGCAUCUGUUGUAGGAAGGAAAAAGAUCAGUAUCACUUAUUUAUUUAUAUAUUUAUUUAUUUUAAGCUGUUAAUUAAUUUUUAAAUCGAAGUAUGGUUGCUAUACACUCUAAGUUACAGGCAUACAAUAUAUUGAUCCACAGUUUUUAAAGGUUAUACUUCAUUUAUAAUUAUUAUAAAAUAUUGGCUGUGUUCCCUGUAUUAUGCUAUGCUCUAUAUCCUUAUAACCUAUACCUAAUAGUUUGCAUUUUUUUUUUUUUUUUUAGGGCUGCACUUGUGGCAUAUGGAAGUUCCCAGGCUUAGGGUCUGAAUUGAAGCUAUAGCGGCCGGCCUAUACCAUAGCUGCAGCAACUUGGAAUAUGAGCCUUGUCUGCGACCUACACCACAGCUCACAGCAAUGCUGGAUUGUUAACCCACUGAGCAAAGCCAGGGAUUGAACCCAUGUCCUCAUGGAUACUAGUUGGGUUCAUUACUGCUGAGCUAUGACAGGAACUCCAGUUUGCACAUCUUAAUACCCUACCUCUCUACUACCCUCCCUCCCCCACUGGUAACCACUGGUUUGUUCUGAGUCUGCUUCUUUUUUGUUAUAUUCAUUAGUUUACUGUAUUUGUUAGAUACCACAUAUAGGUCAUAUCAUAGAGUAUUGGUCUUUAUCUGAUUUAUUUCACUUAGCACACAUAAUGCCUUCCAAAUCCAUCCAUGUUGCUUCAAUUGGAAAUAUUUUCUUCUUUUUAUGGCUGAGUAGUAUUCCAUUGUAUAUAUUCCACGAAUAUAUUAUAUCUUUAUCCAUUCAUAUGUUUAUGGUCACUCAGGUUGCUUCCUCUUGGCUACUGUAAAUAAUGCUGCUGUGAACACUGGGGUGCACAUAUCUUUUUAAAUUAGUGUUUUGGGGGUUUUUUGGGGAUAUAUAUGCAGAAGUGGAAUUGCUGAGUCAUACAUUUCUAUUUUUAGCUUUUUGGGAAAAUUCCAUACUGUUUUCCAUACACAAUUUAUAUUCCUAUCUACAGGGUUCAAGAGUUCCCUUUUCUCUUCAUCCUUGGCAAUGUUUGUUAUUUGUGUUCUUUUUGAUGAUAGCCAUUCUGACAGGUGUGAGGUGAUACUUUAUCGUGGUUUUGAUUUGCACUUCCCUGAUGAUUAGCGAUAUUAAACAUCUUUUUAUAUGCCUAUUGGCCAUCUGUAUGUCUUCCUUAGAAAAAUGUCUAUUCAGGUCUUCUGCCCAUUUUUAAUUGGGUUGUUUGUUCUUUUGAUGAGCUGUUGGAUAUACCCCCUUAUUGGGCAUAUCAUGAUAUAAAAUAUCAUUUGCAAAUAUUUUAUCCCAUUCAGGAUGUUGUCUUUUCAUUUUGUCAAUGGUUUCCUUGGCUAUGCCAAAGUUUGUAACUUUAAUUAGGUUCCAUUUGUUUAUUUUUGCCUUUAUUUUACUUUCUUUAGAAGAUGAAUCCAAAAGAAAUUAUUGCUAUGAUUUAUGUCAAAGAAUUGCUCUGCCUAUGUUUUCUUCUAAGAGUUUCAUAUUAUCCAGUUUUACAUUUAGUCUUUAAUCCAUUUUGAGUUUAUUUUUGUAUAUGCUGCUAAAUAAUGUUUUAAUUUCAUUUUUUUACAUGCAGCUGUCCAGUUUUCCCAAGGCCAACUUAUUGAAGAGACUGUCUUUUCUCCAUUCUAUAUUCUUGCCUCCUUUGUCACAGAUUGUUGAUCAUAAGUGUGCGGGUUUAUUUCUGGGUUCUCUAUCCGAAGUUGUGUUUCUGCAUCAAUUACAAAAUAAGACAUAAAUGAGUAUCCUUUAAAAAUUAUGGACAUAAGCACUGCCUUAGAUUCUACGCUGUGGAAUUAUAUAACCUCAGCUAAAAUUAAAGCCAGGACAAGUCUGUAGGGGUAGCUCUCACUCUCUGCCAUACAUAAUCAACUACUUCAAACAGGAAAAGACUUUAGUCUCUAUGUCCAACAGGAAGGUGCCUUUUUUUAAUUAUCCAGCAGAAAGAAGAAAAUUUCUCUCCACCCCAAUCUGAGGCUGUAGCAGCCCAACCAAUGAGAAGCCUCCAUAGUUACCACAGCCCCUCCCAACCCUCACCUUUUCCCUGCAAAGGCAAGUACCCUCCUUUCUUCUAGCUCUUCUUUUAACAACAUUAACUUUGUGUUUUAUUGGACAUAAUGUUAUUAGUGUGUCUUUUCAUAUCAUUUGGAAAUGUGUUCCUAUAAUUCCAAAAUUAAAACUUACUCUUUUUUUCUUUUUGACCACUUCUGUGGCAUGUGAAACUUCCCAGGCCAGAGAUUGAACUUGUGCCACAACUGUAACCAGAGCCACAGGAGUGACAACGCAGGAUCCUAAACUUGCUGAGCCACCAGGGAACUCCAAAAACUUACUCUUAAAUAUUUGAAUUCUUGUUUUAUAAUUCUUGCUUUAGUGAAUAUCAUAUACUAAAAUAUCCAAUGGAAUAAUUUUGUGUGAUUAGAAGUCAUGUCCAAUAAAGUUAAGCAAGACUACAGCUUUUAUAUAAAGAGAGAUGAGCUUGAUUUAGGAUUUUGUGUAUCUUAUGUUGCUAGAUUGCUUAACCUAGAAAGGGGAAAAUCCUAAAAUGGAGAUUAAUUCUUGAUACUACAAUAACACCACAUCUAGGCUUCUGACUGGCUUGUGUGAAAUGAAUGUGUGGGUUUCUCAGACAACCACCUCACAGCACUCAGACCAGUAUGAUUUACCUAGUAUUUUGGACAUCCAGGGAGAAAAGGCUUAGACUUGAGGGUGGUUCCCUUCUCCCUGGGCAGAAGGGAAGGGGGAAGGAGGAGGAAAGAAAGAGAACUGUAUUUAAAAUUUUACCUUCUUAGGGUAGAUACUGAGUAUUCCAAAGCUUGUAAAUAAUAGGAUAAUGCUCCCCACUGAAAUUAGGACCUUGUCUUUAUGUUAUAAAUAAAUUUAUAAUUUCCUAAUUGCUAUUGAUAUUUGUUGCAGCCUAAACAAGCAGAUGUGUUUUUAAAUUAGAUUUGCCUAUAAUAAACUAAUGGAUGUCUCAAGUUCAAUUUUUUCUUAGACCCUUAUUUUAUGAAAGUAUUUUAAUUGUGUUUACUGAAAGAAAUAUGCACAAUUAAAUUGACUUCUCUGUGAUUACAUAUUUCAUAACUUCCUUUGAUAUAUAAUCUUUAUUGAUAAAGUGGUUAUUCUCAAAAGUAAAUGGAGGCAAAUGAUUGUGGUAAACAGUAAAAUUAAAUAUUUAUAAAUAAAUAUCAAAUGUAUUUCCUCUAAAAUGAGUCAUUUCUGGAGAAGACACAUGUGCUUAUAAACGUGAUUUAGGCACUUAAUAUAUUAAGUUUAUUCAGUAUUUUCUCAAAACAGUUAAUCUAUUUUUCUCUCUCUCUUGCUUUUUCUUUUUAGGGUCGCACCUGCGGCACAUGGAAGUUCCUAGGCUAGGGUGGAAUCAGAGCGAGUGUAGCUGCUGGCCUGCACCACAGCCACAGCAACAUAGGAUCCAAGCUGUUUCUGUGAACUACACCACAGCUCAACACCAGAUCCUUAACCCACUGAGCAAGGCCAGGGAUUAAACCUGUGUCCUCAUGGAUGCUAGUUGAGUUGUUACCACUGAGCCACAAUGGGAACUCCCAAAACAGUUAAUUUAUUUUUCAUUUAACUACUGUUGUUUAAAAAAUUACUCCAAGACUUGUUGGCUUAAAACAACACAAUUUUGCUAUGCCUCACAAUUUUGUUGUGCCUCACAAUUUUGUUAUGCCUCACAAUGUGUGGAUUGGGAUUUGGCAAUGGCUUUUUGAUUUCAUAUUACUAGGACUCACUGGAAUGUCCAGGAUGCCUGCUUCCCUCACAUCUUCCACUUGGGCUGGACUGACUCUCUUGGGGUCAGAUCGUUGAGUCUUUGGUUCCUCCUGUUGGCUGGGCUCGUUGGUCUUCUCCAGAUAGCAUCAGAGCCUCUCUCCAUGUGGCCUCUCUAUGUAGUUCUUCUGGCAAGGUAGCCAGACUCCUCAAGUUGUCAGGUAUAAGCCUGGAACUAACACACAGUCACGUCUGUCACAUUGUGUUGGCUAAAGUAAAAUCACAGGGUCAGCCUAGAUUCACUGUGGGAGAGGACACACAGGGUAUGAAUACUAGGAUGAGUGGUUCAUCAGGGAAGAGGGAGUACCUUGCGGAGUUUAGCUGCUUCAGUCCAUGUGUUCCUUGACCACAUCAUUUCCUGGAUCCUCAAGGGUAAAAACUGAAUAUUUCUCUUGGUGUAUCUUUUGUGUUGUCUGAGGCUAAGAAAUGCCUUUCACAAGCAACAAGUUCCUAUUACAUAGCACGGGGAACUAUAUUCAAUAUCCUGUAAUAAACCAUAAUGGAAAAGAAUAUGAAAAAGAAUACAUAUAGAAGUUCUCACUGUGGCGCAGUGGGUUAAAGAUCUGGUGUUGCUGAAGCUGUGGUAUAGGCUGCAGGUGCAAUCUGGUUUGAUCCCUGGCCAGGGAACUUCCAAAUGCCACAGGUAUAGC